Molecule: ribosomal RNA, 476 nt
Filed under: uncultured bacterium
Lineage: Bacteria
Description: partial 16S ribosomal RNA
Rfam family: Bacterial small subunit ribosomal RNA
Source: RNAcentral
GAUGAACGCUGGCGGCGUGCUUAACACAUGCAAGUCGAGCGAGUGAGUUCUUCGGAACGAUCUAGCGGCGGACGGGUGAGUAACACGUGGGCAACCUGCCUCAUAGAGGGGAAUAGCCUCCCGAAAGGGAGAUUAAUACCGCAUAAAAUUAUCGAGUGGCAUCACAUGAUAAUCAAAGGAGUAAUCCGCUAUGAGAUGGGCCCGCGGCGCAUUAGCUAGUUGGUAAGGUAACGGCUGACCAAGGCGACGAUGCGUAGCCGACCUGAGAGGGUGAUCGGCCACAUUGGGACUGAGACACGGCCCAGACUCCUACGGGAGGCAGCAGUGGGGAAUAUUGCACAAUGGGGGAAACCCUGAUGCAGCAACGCCGCGUGAGUGAUGAAGGUCUUCGGAUUGUAAAGCUCUGUCUUUGGGGACGAUAAUGACGGUACCCAAGGAGGAAGCCACGGCUAACUACGUGCCAGCCGCCGCAGUAA